CAGACCUGGAGACUUCAACAUUGGAACAGUCUACAGGAUUGCCUACUGGAGAACACACUCAGGAACUGUCCUCUGUCCCAGCGGGAGACACAUCCUCAGAACCUCUGUCGGACACAACUCAGGAACGCCAGGGAUCGGUGACCGGACAGCCUGGUCCAGGGUUGACCACCAGCCCAGCAGGGUCUUUGAGCUCAGACUUGGAGGCUUCAACAUUGGAACAGUCUACAGGAUUGUCUACUGGAGAACACACACAGGAACUGUCCUCUGUCCCAGCAGGAGACACAUCCUCAGACCUGGAGACUUCAACAUUGGAACAGUCUACAGGAUUGUCUACUGGAGAACACACCCAGGAACUGUCCUCUGACCCAGCGGGAGACACAUCCUCAGAUUCUCAGUUGGACACAACUCGGGAACCCCAGGUAUCACAAACCGGAAAACAUGGACCUGGUUUCACCACCUCCCUAGCGAGGUCUGCGAGCUCAGGUACAGAUUCCCA
Long non-coding RNA from Hypanus sabinus (Atlantic stingray), 496 nucleotides. RefSeq lists it as uncharacterized. NCBI's taxonomy places the organism in Eukaryota, Metazoa, Chordata, Chondrichthyes, Myliobatiformes, Dasyatidae. The transcript is spliced from 5 exons. The record is from RefSeq and is a predicted model, not a curated record.